RNAcentral lists this ribosomal RNA (440 nucleotides) under uncultured bacterium. RNAcentral describes it as "partial 16S ribosomal RNA". It matches the Rfam family "Bacterial small subunit ribosomal RNA", at positions 338 to 795 of the family's 1533-position model. The record is from RNAcentral.
CCUACGGGAGGCAGCAGUGGGGAAUAUUGCACAAUGGGGGAAACCCUGAUGCAGCGACGCCGCGUGAGCGAUGAAGUAUUUCGGUAUGUAAAGCUCUAUCAGCAGGGAAGAAAAUGACGGUACUUGACUAAGAAGCCCCGGCUAACUACGUGCCAGCAGCCGCGGUAAUACGGAGGGGGCAAGCGUUAUCCGGAUUUACCGGGUGUAAAGGGAGCGUAGACGGUCCUGCAAGCCAGAUGUGAAAGCCCGGGGCUCAACCCCGGGACUGCAUUUGGAACUGUAAGGCUGGAGUGUCGGGGAGGCAGGCGGAAUUCCUAGUGUAGCGGUGAAAUGCGUAGAUAUUAGGAGGAACACCAGUGGCGAAGGCGGCCUGCUGGACGAUGACUGACGUUGAGGCUCGAAAGCGUGGGGAGCAAACAGGAUUAGAUACCCUUGUAGUC